AGAUAUCAAUGAGUGUUUGACUGAAUGCAAAGAUGUAGGCCAAGUGUGCAACAACAUAGAUGGGUCUUUCAUAUGUGAAUGUGAUGAAAAGUAUGUGCCAUUAGCAGACGGGACGUGUGAACCAGAACCUCUAGAGUGUGAAGAUAUUGUAUGCGAAGGUGAUCAUAAUUACUGCAAGCUAAAUAAUGAAGGAACGCCUGACUGUUUUUGUGAUAUAGGAUAUUUCCCGAGCCCAGAUUCUGAAAACUGUGCAGAUGAAAAUGAAUGUGAUACAACUUGCAAAGAGGAAGGUCAAAUUUGUGAGAACACUAUAGGAUCCU
This is a non-coding RNA of Styela clava, 320 nucleotides long. The record is from RefSeq and is a predicted model, not a curated record. NCBI's taxonomy places the organism in Eukaryota, Metazoa, Chordata, Ascidiacea, Stolidobranchia, Styelidae.